Molecule: unclassified non-coding RNA, 426 nt
Filed under: uncultured fungus
Lineage: Eukaryota; Fungi
Description: sequence contains ITS2
Rfam family: 5.8S ribosomal RNA (bases 1-154)
Source: RNAcentral
AACUUUUGGCAAUGGAUCACUUGGCUCUCGCAUCGAUGAAAAACGCUGCGAAAUGCGAUACGUAAUGUGAAUUGCAAAAUUCAGUGAAUCGUCGAAUCUUUGAACGCAUAUUGCGCUCUUUGCUAUUCUGAAGAGCAUGCUUCUUUGAGUAUCAGUAAACACCUCAAACCCUUUUCGUUGUUGGAAAGGCUUUGGACCUGAGCAAUCCCAACACCAAUCUUUUUUAAAGAUCGGGGGCGGGUUGCUUGAAAUGCAGGCGCAGCUGGACUUUCUCCUGAGCUAAAAGCAUAUUCAUUAUUACUUUUGCUGCAGCUAACAUAAAGGGAGAUUGACCGUAUUGGCUGACUGAUGCAGGAUUUCACAAGAGUCGAUCUCAAAUCAAGUAAGACUACCCGCUGAACUUAAGCAUAUCAAUAAGCGGAGGCU